GUUUUUACCAAAGCUCAAAGGAAAUUAUUAUUAUUAUCUUAUAUAUAAAUAAAUCCCUAUUUCCUUCAGCGUUUACUCGACUCCUGCCAAAUUCCAUCGAAGCAAGCUCUUACCGACAUUUACAUCCAGGAAAUAUGAGUAGCCGUGCGAGCAGAAUUCUCUAUGUUGGGAAUCUCCCAGGCGAUAUUCGUGAGAGGGAAGUGGAGGAUUUGUUUUACAAGUAUGGACCUAUAUCCCAUGUUGACCUAAAGAUCCCACCAAGACCCCCUGGUUAUGCAUUCGUUGAGUUUGAAGAGGCUCGGGAUGCGGAAGAUGCAAUUCGCGGUCGUGAUGGUUAUGAUUUUGAUGGGCAUCGUUUACGGGUGGAACUGGCUCAUGGUGGGCGUGGGCAUUCAUCAUCAGAUCGUCAUGGUAGUCAUGGCAGUCAUGGCAGCAGCAGUCGCAAUGGGCGUGGUGGAGUUUCCCGGCGAUCUGAUUAUCGUGUGAUGGUGACUGGGCUACCCUCUUCUGCUUCAUGGCAAGACCUUAAGGACCAUAUGCGUCGAGCUGGAGAUGUCUGCUUCUCUCAAGUCUUUCGGGAUGGUAAUGGCACAACAGGUGUUGUGGAUUAUGCAAACUAUGACGACAUGAAGUAUGCAAUCAAGAAACUUAACAACUCUGAGUUUCGAAAUGCAUUUUCUCGGGCAGAUGUUCGUGUAAAGGAAUAUGAUUCUAAGAGUAGUCCUGGCCAUCCUAGAGGUCGAAGUGAGAGUCGCAGUCGCAGCAGGGAUCGAAGUUAUAGUCGGAGCAGGAGCCUGAGCAAGUCUCCAAAAGCAAAAGCAAAAGCAAAAUCUAUGCGUUCCUCACCUGCUAAGUCUAGGUCAAGGUCUGCUUCUUCUCGCUCUCGCUCUGGGUCAAGGCGACGCUCUCUGUCAAGAUAUGGAUUUAUGGAGCGAACUGGGGAUUGGAUAAUAGUUUCUUGAUGGAAUAUGGUUCAGUUGCGUGCAUCUUUUUUGGUUGUGGAGAUUGGAACAAGGAGAAUAUGGAUUGCAUUUUAGAGCUGGCAUACAAUUGACUAAUCGCCAUUGGAUCUGGGAGUCACCAGCAAUGAGCCGUAGGAACUAUUUCAUUACCAUUUUCUGCUCCAACAACUGUGAAGCUAGUUGGACAUGCUAUCUGGAUUGCUGUGGAUUUUGAUCUACUCUAGGGAAGCAUGCUCCUGUCUGUUUGUCAUGGCUCAAAAUAUCUUGUGAUUCAUCUUAUCAAGCCUUUUCUUAAUUAACCUAAUUAAGUUAUUUAUGCGUGAAUUUAGGAUUAUUUAUGCAAAAAUCUACAAAUUUGGCCAGAUCUUUUCUACGUUGACUUGCUAAAUACUUUAUGGCUUUUCUGACGUGCAAGAGGCGUCAAGGCUCUUGGAUGAAAGUUGUUAACGGGAACAUGCGGAUUUUAAACGUGGGUUAUUUCUGGAACUUUUGCAGAUCUCCGUCAAGAUCCAAAUCUCCGCUGCCAUCUAAACGCGCGAGUACAAGCCCCAAGAAACGUGUGAGUAAAAGCCCCAAGAAACGCAGUCUAAGCAAGAGCCCAAGCAGGAGCAGGAGCAGGAGUUUAUCGCGUUGAGAUUUGAUCGUGGCUUCUUUGUUUCCUAUUCAGGAAGUGGAAACUGGACAAGAAUCGUUAUGUUUUGUUAUCCUGAUAAAUUAUUAUUGAGCAGUGUUAGUGAACCGUUGUGUUUACUGGAGAAUGACAGAUGGGUUUGGCACAGUAAUUGUGUCUUAAAUACUUUGUUUUAUUUGUUGUGGUGGACACAUUUUAUGCAUAAUUUGGAUUCAUAGCGGAACUGAGGUUAGCUCAUCACAUUGACUAUUGUGUGGCUGAUUUUAUCAUCUCUGUUUUAUGCUUUUUCUGAGGA
Molecule: RNA transcript, 1888 nt
Organism: Tripterygium wilfordii
Lineage: Eukaryota; Viridiplantae; Streptophyta; Magnoliopsida; Celastrales; Celastraceae
Gene name: serine/arginine-rich-splicing factor SR34-like
Exons: 15
Source: RefSeq, a predicted model, not a curated record